Small nucleolar RNA from Ornithorhynchus anatinus (platypus), 139 nucleotides. Lineage: Eukaryota; Metazoa; Chordata; Mammalia; Monotremata; Ornithorhynchidae. The record is from RefSeq and is a predicted model, not a curated record.
CCCAUCUCAGGAUCCUCACCCGGAGAGUUUCCAGUAUUCUACCAGUCUUGGCUGUGGGAGGGAGAGUCAAGCAGAGGCAUACCCAUUCCAUUCCUAGCUUGAGCAAUGGCUAGCAAGUGGAAGCCAAUCUGCUACAAGU